This 515-nucleotide ribosomal RNA is filed under the name uncultured bacterium. RNAcentral describes it as "partial 16S ribosomal RNA". It matches the Rfam family "Bacterial small subunit ribosomal RNA", at positions 28 to 523 of the family's 1533-position model. The record is from RNAcentral.
GAUGAACGCUGGCGGCGUGCCUAAUACAUGCAAGUCGAGCGAAUGGAUUAAGAGCUUGCUCUUAUGAAGUUAGCGGCGGACGGGUGAGUAACACGUGGGUAACCUGCCCAUAAGACUGGGAUAACUCCGGGAAACCGGGGCUAAUACCGGAUAACAUUUUGAACUGCAUGGUUCGAAAUUGAAAGGCGGCUUCGGCUGUCACUUAUGGAUGGACCCGCGUCGCAUUAGCUAGUUGGUGAGGUAACGGCUCACCAAGGCAACGAUGCGUAGCCGGCCUGAGAGGGUGAUCGGCCACACUGGGACUGAGACACGGCCCAGACUCCUACGGGAGGCAGCAGUAGGGAAUCUUCCGCAAUGGACGAAAGUCUGACGGAGCAACGCCGCGUGAGUGACGAAGGCUUUCGGGUCGUAAAACCCUGUUGUUAGGGAAGAACAAGUGCUAGUUGAAUAAGCUGGCACCUUGACGGUACCUAACCAGAAAGCCACGGCUAACUACGUGCCAGCCGCCGCGGUAA